AAAAUCCGUCGACUUUAUAAGUCGUGAG
RNAcentral lists this transfer RNA (28 nucleotides) under Saccharum spontaneum (wild sugarcane). RNAcentral's name for it is "partial tRNA-Leu". Lineage: Eukaryota; Viridiplantae; Streptophyta; Magnoliopsida; Poales; Poaceae. The record is from RNAcentral. RNAcentral also lists the same sequence under 1 other name.